Molecule: long non-coding RNA, 362 nt
Filed under: Ananas comosus (pineapple)
Lineage: Eukaryota; Viridiplantae; Streptophyta; Magnoliopsida; Poales; Bromeliaceae
Description: long non-coding RNA (ACOM_LNC037311)
Source: RNAcentral
GCAUGGAACUCACAUUUCAAUAUGCUUCGAAUGAGACUGCAGGUGAGAGUCAAAAAUAAGAAAAAAAUAAAAUUUAUCCUGAAUCUGUCCUAACCUGAUAAGACAAUGGAGCAAAAAGAGAUAGACCUUUUCUUUCCCUUGAUUUGUUUGAUCCGCUAAAAAUUUAUUAAAAAUUUGCUUCUGUUCUGACGUGUGCUGAAUAAAGCAGCAAAUGGAAGAAAAAAAAUAGAAUAAAAAUUAAUCUAUUCCAAAUCCAUUCCGAUUCGUCAAGAAAUCACUCUCGCCCCGAAAUCUACACCGUUUGAAUCCAUAAAUGCUGUAUUCAUAAAUUGAAUAGAAAUGAAUAAUUAAUCCACAACUAU